RNAcentral lists this ribosomal RNA (215 nucleotides) under Campeiostachys nutans. RNAcentral describes it as "Elymus nutans partial small subunit ribosomal RNA". The stretch from base 37 to 215 matches the Rfam family "Eukaryotic small subunit ribosomal RNA", at positions 684 to 864 of the family's 1831-position model. Lineage: Eukaryota; Viridiplantae; Streptophyta; Magnoliopsida; Poales; Poaceae. The record is from RNAcentral.
GGGUCAAUGUGUUGGUCGUGCCUCGGUACGAACUGGUAUUAUUGGUUCCUACCUUCUGAAGAACCGCGAUGUCAUUAAUUUGGUGUCGUGGGGAAUCAGGACUGUUACUUUGAAAAAAUUAGAGUGUUUAAAGCAAGCUAACGCUUGAAUACAUUAGCAUGGAAUAAUGAAAUAGGACGUUCGAUCCUAUUUUGUUGGUUUCUAGGAUUGACGUA